AAAGGAAUUGACGGGGGCCCGCACAAGCAGCGGAGCAUGUGGUUUAAUUCGAAGCAACGCGAAGAACCUUACCAGGGCUUGACAUGGCCAUGACGUAUCUGGAGACAGGUAUUUCCUUCGGGACAUGGUCACAGGUGGUGCAUGGUUGUCGUCAGCUCGUGUCGUGAGAUGUUGGGUUAAGUCCCGCAACGAGCGCAACCCCUAUCGCUAGUUGCUAACGGGUAAAGCUGAGCACUCUAGGGAGACUGCCGGGGACAACUCGGAGGAAGGUGGGGAUGACGUCAAAUCAUCAUGCCCCUUAUGUCCUGGGCUACACACGUGCUACAAUGGCCGGAACAGAGGGUUGCGAAGGAGUAAUCCGGAGCCAAUCCCAAAAACCCGGUCCCAGUUCGGAUUGUGGGCUGCAACCCGCCCACAUGAAGUCGGAGUUGCUAGUAAUCGCGGAUCAGCCAUGCCGCGGUGAAUGCGUUCCCGGGCCUUGUACACACCGCCCGU
This 495-nucleotide ribosomal RNA is filed under the name uncultured bacterium. RNAcentral describes it as "bacterial SSU rRNA". It matches the Rfam family "Bacterial small subunit ribosomal RNA", at positions 903 to 1397 of the family's 1533-position model. The record is from RNAcentral.